Molecule: ribosomal RNA, 497 nt
Filed under: uncultured bacterium
Lineage: Bacteria
Description: partial 16S ribosomal RNA
Rfam family: Bacterial small subunit ribosomal RNA
Source: RNAcentral
GAUGAACGCUGGCGGCGUGCCUAAUACAUGCAAGUCGAGCGAACAGACGAGGAGCUUGCUCCUCUGACGUUAGCGGCGGACGGGUGAGUAACACGUGGAUAACCUACCUAUAAGACUGGGAUAACUUCGGGAAACCGGAGCUAAUACCGGAUAAUAUAUUGAACCGCAUGGUUCAAUAGUGAAAGACGGUUUUGCUGUCACUUAUAGAUGGAUCCGCGCCGCAUUAGCUAGUUGGUAAGGUAACGGCUUACCAAGGCAACGAUGCGUAGCCGACCUGAGAGGGUGAUCGGCCACACUGGAACUGAGACACGGUCCAGACUCCUACGGGAGGCAGCAGUAGGGAAUCUUCCGCAAUGGGCGAAAGCCUGACGGAGCAAAGCCGCGUGAGUGAUGAAGGUCUUCGGAUCGUAAAACUCUGUUAUUAGGGAAGAAAAAAUGUGUAAGUAACUAUGCACGUCUUGACGGUACCUAAUCAGAAAGCCACGGCUAACUACGUG